RNAcentral lists this long non-coding RNA (353 nucleotides) under Homo sapiens (human). RNAcentral's name for it is "HSALNT0361356". Lineage: Eukaryota; Metazoa; Chordata; Mammalia; Primates; Hominidae. The record is from RNAcentral.
UACUAAAUGGCCAUAAAAAAGAACGAGAUCAUGUCUUUUGCAGGAACGUGGAUGGAGCUGGUGGCCAUUAUUCUUAGUAAACUCAUGCAGGAACAAAACCAGAUACUGCAUGUUCCCACUUACAGGAACGUAGAUGGAGCUGGUGGCCAUUAUUCUUAGUAAACUCAUGCAGGAACAGAAAACCAAAUACUGCACGUUCCCACUUACAGGGACCAGGUGGAGAUAAUUGAAUCAUGGGGGCAGUUUCCUACAUGCUGUUCUUGUGAUGGUAAGUAAAUUGUCACGAGAUCAUGAUGGUUUUAUAAGGGGCUUCCCCCUUCGCUUGGCUCUCAUUCUUCUCUCUCCUGCUGCCU